CCAGCAUGUGGGCUUGGAGAAGAAAGAAGGAAAAGCUUGUUAGUAAGAGAAACAAAAGCUUCAACAAAGCAAGCAACUAGUAGAAGAAAAACCCACAAAGAGACUCCUUAGUUCCUGGUCACACGCAACUGGUGUAUAUUUUACCUCUGAGAAUGUGCCGGGAGUCUUCCAGAUCAUCCAGAUCAUCCCCAGAGGGAUGCACACCAUGGACGACAUGGCCAUGAACCAGCCGAUACCGUAGCCCCAGUCAGGGCCCUCAUGUGUGAUGGCGAUGAUGGUUGACAACGAUGAUGAUGACAAUGAAGAUGAUGGCGAAAUGUCUCCAUGGAAUUAAUUGAAGACAUAUGUUUUCAGACCCUGAAUCGGCCUGCUGACUGCCAAGGGGACAUCGAGUGCUGUGACGCAGACAAAGCAGAGACAGUGCGAUAUCACGAGUAUCAACACAUUUGCAUUUCAUUAAUAGUCAUGUGUUGUGUCUAACUGGGGCAGUCGAGAUUACCUCCUUCCCUCAGCGACAGCUUCAGUGAUGUAACCAGGGACCUCCCAAAUAAAUAGAGGAAGCACGUGGGCUGGACUU
Molecule: long non-coding RNA, 577 nt
Organism: Entelurus aequoreus (snake pipefish)
Lineage: Eukaryota; Metazoa; Chordata; Actinopteri; Syngnathiformes; Syngnathidae
Exons: 4
Source: RefSeq, a predicted model, not a curated record